Molecule: transfer RNA, 84 nt
Filed under: candidate division WWE3 bacterium RIFCSPHIGHO2_01_FULL_42_13
Lineage: Bacteria; candidate division WWE3
Description: tRNA-Leu
Rfam family: tRNA
About the family: Transfer RNA (tRNA) molecules are approximately 80 nucleotides in length. Their secondary structure includes four short double-helical elements and three loops (D, anti-codon, and T loops).
Source: RNAcentral
GGGCGAGUGGCGGAACUGGUAUACGCGCACGGCUUAGAACCGUGUCCUUUAUGGUUGAGGGUUCGAGUCCCUCCUCGCCCACCA